GCGACAUACUGAGAGGACAGCAAACAAAGCACAAUCCACUUUCCACUGUGAGGAAGACUUUGAGCUAUCGGUUUUUCACCUAUCUAAGCAAAACAGCAUCUAACUACCUGAUUGACUGAAUGAACCUGAAACUGGUCAAAAAUUGAGUGAAAUUCAAAGUCUGGUCUUUUUCAAGUGUGGGCACCUCACAGACAGAGAACACUUGACAGGAAUAUUUAAAAAAAAAAAAAAAAAAAAAAAAGUAAAGUCACUUCAAACUAGGAUGUAAAUGUCACAGAGAAUUAAAAUGAGUCAACAUGAAGCUCGUACAAUUUCUGUUAAACAUUAAAAUCCGGAAAGAGGCCAUUCUCCCACUUUGUUUUUCUGGUUUUGCUGAGACGGAAAAUGUGGUGACAGCAGCAGAACAUCUGGUGAGGAAGAAAGUAUAAAUGUUAUUUUCGGCUGUGUAAUCAUUUUAACAACAAAUACAUCCUCGAUAAUGAGCAUAAAUAGUAACUCAGAGAAUUUGCAUCACAAAAAUCAUGCAUUCAUAUAUUUACACACCAGGUUAUCUCUGCAGCCGUGUGAAAAACAGGUACAGCCUUAUGUAACUGGGAGCCAGAUGACUCUAACUUGAUCCUCAAUGAGGAAUGAACAAGAAGCAAAUUCACCCCAAGCUCAAACCAUGCAAUGAUCUUGCAAAGCUGCAAGAACCUACAGGACUCAGUUAUCAUGUUACAUGUUAAAGAUCAUGCCGGAACAAUUAGAAAAAGGCUGAACAAGCACAGCUUAUUUGGAAGGGUUGCCACAAGAAAGCCUCUUCUGUGAAAAGAGCAUGGUCGCAUUGGUUAGAUUUGCAAA
This is a long non-coding RNA of Oreochromis niloticus (Nile tilapia), 840 nucleotides long. RefSeq lists it as uncharacterized. NCBI's taxonomy places the organism in Eukaryota, Metazoa, Chordata, Actinopteri, Cichliformes, Cichlidae. The transcript is spliced from 2 exons. The record is from RefSeq and is a predicted model, not a curated record.